CCUACGGGAGGCAGCAGUGGGGAAUAUUGGACAAUGGGCGAAAGCCUGAUCCAGCAAUGCCGCGUGAGUGAUGAAGGCCCUCGGGUCGUAAAGCUCUUUUACCCGGGAUGAUAAUGACAGUACCGGGAGAAUAAGCCCCGGCUAACUCCGUGCCAGCAGCCGCGGUAAU
RNAcentral lists this ribosomal RNA (169 nucleotides) under uncultured Alphaproteobacteria bacterium. RNAcentral describes it as "partial 16S ribosomal RNA". It matches the Rfam family "Bacterial small subunit ribosomal RNA", at positions 338 to 524 of the family's 1533-position model. Lineage: Bacteria; Pseudomonadati; Pseudomonadota; Alphaproteobacteria. The record is from RNAcentral.